GCCCACCUGCUGAACCCUAGUCCCCUCUCCAUCCCAUCAGCGCCGCCACUCCUCUCUCCUUCUGUGCUUCCGUGCUCGACCACGGCCGUCGAUCCGUCGUCUACUUCCGGUAGAGGCCGUCGUCUUCCAGUUCAUCGUCGUCCACGACCUCGCGUCGUUACAUCACACGCCGGAGCUGCUCUUCAUCAAUCCCGCGUGCGACGCCAAGCUCUGCGACCGUCGGCAUCGGCUCGACCAAAUCCUCCCGACGUGCUCAGCCGCGCGCGCGUGCUGCAUGACGUCCGUCCCGCGCCGCUGAUCCGCGUCCGUCGCUCGUCUCCACCUCCGUUCACGCAUGUCUGCUCGUGCCCGCCGCUGUCUCGGCUCCCCUGGCCCUCGUCGGCGGCUAAACUCCGGCGCCUACCUGAACCAAGUCCAGUCUAUCUGCCUCCCCGACGGACGUCUCCGUCCUCGUCCCCAGCAACAAGAACUCCGGCCGGCCGCCCGUCAAGUCCUCCAUGGGCUGCUCGUCAGCUGUGAUCCUCGGCCACCUCCUCCUUCUUCAUCUCCGGCAACUCCUUCGCCGCUCCUUUCUCGUCAUCAACCACCCCAGGCAUUUGCUUCUUCCCGGAUAGGAUCGCGAAGUGGUGUGGUGAGAUACGCCAAGUUCUCCGGAUGUUCCUCGGCAAGCUUUAACAGGCAAGCAUUUCCCUUAUACUCCUGCCCCUGCAGAAGUCGCUCACCUAUUUUAUUUUGCCUUCUCCCUCAUGCUAUCCUUAAGUUGCGUUCUUGUCACGUGUCCCUUCCACUUGUUACCUCAAGCAGCCCAUAUUGCCUCCACCAACCACCUAUGGCUAUUGUUUGGUAUCGGGUCUGCCUUGCGAGUUGUAGUGCAUGCUAGUGCUGUUAUAUCUCGUUACCGUUAUCGCUAUCUUAUCGGUUAUCUGUUGGGAAUCAUGACACAUGCUACGUGGUUAUAUCUGUUGAGGGAAUCAUGGUUACUUGUUAAUAAUUGUUAAGCGGAGGCAUCGGUGGGUCAGCUGAUCGUUUUGUGACGGCUCACUUGUGUUUCCUAAAUAUCUUAGGACCCCGAGUUCUUGUUAUCUGUUCCGAGACUGAGCGCUCUAACCACACGUGGGUAUGUUUCUGGGUCUCCCCUCGACCACUGCCGGAAUCUACAGCUUUGUCCAGUGGCCACAACUAGUUUCGUAAUGUUUUACCAUUUGUUGUUUGCGUGCAUGCCAGCCUGUUACUUAUUUACUUUGGGAAGCCCCUGGGUGCCUUGUAUCCCUUGUUUCUGGUAUGCACGUAUAGGUCGCGGAGCCGCUGCGAAGUGGUUUAUCGCCCCAGUGUGUGUUUAAACCACCUAGUACGCUGU
Lolium perenne is the source of this 1357-nucleotide long non-coding RNA. RefSeq lists it as uncharacterized. The record is from RefSeq and is a predicted model, not a curated record. NCBI's taxonomy places the organism in Eukaryota, Viridiplantae, Streptophyta, Magnoliopsida, Poales, Poaceae.